UACGGAGGGUGCAAGCGUUAAUCGGAAUCACUGGGCGUAAAGCGCACGUAGGCGGUGAAGUAAGUCAGGCGUGAAAUCCCUCGGCUCAACCGGGGAACUGCGUUUGAUACUGCUUUGCUUGAGUGCCGGAGAGGGUGGCGGAAUUCCAGGUGUAGGAGUGAAAUCCGUAGAUAUCACUAGGAAUAUCAAAAGCGAAGGCGAUCUGCUGGGAUGAUACUGACGCUCAGACGUGAAAGCGUGGGUAGCAAACAGA
Molecule: ribosomal RNA, 253 nt
Filed under: uncultured bacterium
Lineage: Bacteria
Description: partial 16S ribosomal RNA
Rfam family: Bacterial small subunit ribosomal RNA
Source: RNAcentral